This 284-nucleotide ribosomal RNA is filed under the name Faecalibacterium prausnitzii. RNAcentral describes it as "partial 16S ribosomal RNA". It matches the Rfam family "Bacterial small subunit ribosomal RNA", at positions 493 to 776 of the family's 1533-position model. Lineage: Bacteria; Bacillati; Bacillota; Clostridia; Eubacteriales; Oscillospiraceae. The record is from RNAcentral.
UCUUUUCCUUUUGUGCCCGCCGCCGCGGUAAAACGUAGGUCACAAGCGUUGUCCGGAAUUACUGGGUGUAAAGGGAGCGCAGGCGGGAAGACAAGUUGGAAGUGAAAUCUAUGGGCUCAACCCAUAAACUGCUUUCAAAACUGUUUUUCUUGAGUAGUGCAGAGGUAGGCGGAAUUCCCGGUGUAGCGGUGGAAUGCGUAGAUAUCGGGAGGAACACCAGUGGCGAAGGCGGCCUACUGGGCACCAACUGACGCUGAGGCUCGAAAGUGUGGGUAGCAAACAGG